RNAcentral lists this transfer RNA (69 nucleotides) under Neoasterolepisma foreli. Its description in RNAcentral is "tRNA-Val". Lineage: Eukaryota; Metazoa; Arthropoda; Insecta; Zygentoma; Lepismatidae. The record is from RNAcentral.
CAAAAUAGAUCUAAUAGUUAGAAAAUUCGUUUACAUCGGGUUGUUAUUGUGCAAUUCAAUAUAUUUUGA